This 467-nucleotide ribosomal RNA is filed under the name uncultured Rhodoferax sp. RNAcentral's name for it is "bacterial SSU rRNA". It matches the Rfam family "Bacterial small subunit ribosomal RNA", at positions 916 to 1381 of the family's 1533-position model. Lineage: Bacteria; Pseudomonadati; Pseudomonadota; Betaproteobacteria; Burkholderiales; Comamonadaceae. The record is from RNAcentral.
GACGGGACCCGCACAAGCGGUGGAUGAUGUGGUUUAAUUCGAUGCAACGCGAAAACCUUACCCACCUUGACAUGUACGGAACCCUUUAGAGAUAGAGGGGUGCUCGAAAGAGAGCCGUGACACAGGUGCUGCAUGGCUGUCGUCAGCUCGUGUCGUGAGAUGUUGGGUUAAGUCCCGCAACGAGCGCAACCCUUGUCAUUAGUUGCUACAUUCAGUUGGGCACUCUAAUGAGACUGCCGGUGACAAGCCGGAGGAAGGUGGGGAUGACGUCAAGUCCUCAUGGCCCUUAUAGGUGGGGCUACACACGUCAUACAAUGGCUGGUACAAAGGGUUGCCAACCCGCGAGGGGGAGCCAAUCCCAUAAAGCCAGUCGUAGUCCGGAUCGUAGUCUGCAACUCGACUACGUGAAGUCGGAAUCGCUAGUAAUCGUGGAUCAGAAUGUCACGGUGAAUACGUUCCCGGGUCUU